GAGGAGGAGGAGGAGGAGGAGGAGGAGGAGGAGGUAGCAGUGAGAGUCGUAGAAUCGUGUUGUUCCCAGACACCUUCCCCACGCACUUGUACCCCUGUUUGUAAACUCUUGAGAAGACUACUGCCACCCUCUUGUUUUCCUUCCUCCUUCUUCUCCUGUUACACUGUCUCCUAUUUCCUUUUAUCAACUUGCAUAUUCCCAGUAGAGUAUCAGGGCACUUGAAAAUUUUACUGUCUUAGCAUUUUUCAUGGUUCUUCUUCAACUAUGUGCCACUAUGUUGGGUCUCUUCCUCCUCCUUCUCUUUCUCCUGUCAUGGCAUUCAAAAACUUCAGUCCUCGUAGCAUCUUUCCUGGUUCUUCUUCGGCUAGGUGACUUAAUGAGUGGUACGUAGUCAUGGUCAGUGGUCAGUAACAUGGAUCACUCACUCACUUAUACUGUUUGGUAUUUUUACCUUAUUAGUAUGUCCUCUGAUCUGCUGGGAACUAAUUGCUGUCUUUUAUAAGGUGACUGUCAGCAGAUCAGGGACUUAAAUUUGAGGGAAAAAACACAAAACACAAGGGAAGUUAGUGUAGGUUACUCGACUUUUGAUCACCAUUGUAUCCUUAAGAUAUUUAUCCUCGUAUACUUUUUUUUUGCAAUCCUAUCCCAGCCUUGUGAGAAUGAGAGAUGAAACACAACACAUUAAAUAAUCCAAGCGAGUUGCGGUUCCUGAGUAUCAUAAUGAAACUCAGGCUUUGUGAAGUAACUCAGUCUAUCUUGUCCCUUUUUCCCGUGUAGUUUUAAAAGUCUCACCUUGCGCUAAUGAAUAAAAAAAGAGAAAUUACAAAGUGAGCUAAGGUUGAAAUGAGGUGGCAGCGCCCGAGGACCGUAAUGAAACUCGGGCUGUGUAAUAUAACUAGGAGUCCACGCUGCAGAGAAACAUAUGAAUAAUUUUUGCUGCAGCAACGAGCUAAUGCACAGGACGUGAGCGUGAUGGAAGAAUAACACAGGUCAGAGAGAAAUUCUUAUUCGCUAGUGACGGGAGAAAAUAUGAAUGUGGCGCGUGUAUAACCAAAAAGUAAAAUUAAAUAUGUACUGGGAGGAAAAGGAGGUAGGAUACGCCAUAUCCAUUUAAGAGAGAACACGACAGGCAGUGUGAGGAUGAAGUCCAGGGCUCACUGUAUAGUUAAUUCAUCGCUAUGGGACGAAAAAAAAAGGCAGAAGUGGAAGGUAACGGAAUAUGUAUAUGAAGCCAUUUUACUGUCUUGAUUUGUUGAGGCGUGGAGCGAGAGGCGAGAAGGGGCGGGAAGGGGGUGAUAAGAGGGCAUGAAGAAGACGAGAAAGGAGACGAGAGAGGUGAUAAAAUAACGAAAAGGAGACGAGAGGAUGGAGAAAGGGGAAAACGAAGAGACGAGGAUAAAGAGAUAAGGAUAAGGAUGGAGAAAGAGGGAAGAAGAAGAGAUGAGAAUAAGAGAGGAGAAGAGAGGAUGACUAGAAAGAGGGAAGAGGGAGAGGUGAGAAUAGAGCGAGAAGGAAACGAGAGGAUGAAAAAAGGGGAAGAGGAAGAGACGAGAAUAGAGCGAGGAGACGAGGGGAAGGCGGCAAUGGAGUGAGCAGAAAAAGCUGCUGUUUUAAUCAUCGACGAAUGAGAGAUCGUGAGCCGCGGAUAGGUAGAUGGGAAUGAGAGAAAGUCAGCGGGAGGCGUGAGGCACGACUCUCGGCGGGGCGGAGAGGGGAAGGCUGCCUCACUCCCUCACUCCCUGCCAAUACGCUGAGGCCAACUGGUAACCUUUGCGUCAGCCUCCUCGUCUCCUUAGCUUGGCUUCUUUCACUUCCACUCCAGAAAUGAAGAACACAGAUUUUGGGCAGGUGAAACGCAAGUGUGGUACGUGAGGUCUUAUUUCUUAACCCGUCGUCUCCGUGGUGCUUGUAGUGGUGGUGGUGGUGGUGGUGGGAGUGCCUGGACUAUAUUAUGCAGGGUCUCUCGGCCUUGCGUUAGGUCCACCUUCUUACCGCAGCGCCGGCAAGGCCAUCUAGCGGGGCGCGAGAAAAGGUCAGAGGACACUUUUGUAUUCUUUACGGCAGCAACACUGGACGUAAUCUGUAAAUAAAAUGACGUUAUUUCAUCAGAUGUUUACAAUCGCCAGGCACAUCUCAGAAGUUAAUGUUGAUUCUUUUGCUUUUACGUUCCUGUUACUUAUUUUAUUUUACUUUAAUUUUAUUUAUUUAUUUUUUUUUUUGAUGGCGGAAAACUUGUAGCUUUCCGUAAGAAGGUCGUAGCUAUUGUAACUUGCAGAAGGAAGAUGUUUUCCGUAACUUUACGACUUGCGUGAGUUGUGUCGCCGUCCACUGGGAGCUUCGGGGACUGUGUGUGUGUGUAUGUGUGUGUGUGUGUGUGUGUGUGUGUGUGUGUGUGUGUGUGUGUGUGUGUGUGUGUGUGUGUGUGUGUGUGUGUGUGUGUGAUGGAAGUGGAAGACGAGGACAAGAGUUCGUCAAAGUUUGAGUCGAAAGGACUGACUGCUGGAGGAGAGAGAGUGUAAGAGUGAAUGGUUGAGGAGAGAAGGAGGGAGAGGGCUGAAGAAAGUAGGAGGAGGAGGAGGAGGAAGAGGAGAAGGAGGAGGAGAAGGAGGAGGAGGAAGAGGAGGAAGAAGAAGAAGAAGAAGAAGAAGAAGAAGAAGAAGAAGAAGAAGAAGAAGAAGAAGAAGAAGAAGAAGAAGAAGGACAGCAGCAACAACAACAACAACAACAACAACAACAACAACAACAACAACAACAACAACAACAACUACUACUACUACUACUACUACUACUACUACUACUACUACUACCACUACUACUACUACUACUACUACUACUACUGCUACUACUACUGCUACUACUACUACUACUACUACUACUACUACUACUACUGCUGCUGCUGCUAUAACAAUAACAAAAAAAUUAAUAAUUUAUAGAUCCAGGUCCAAAAAUUUCUGACAAAAUAGGAAAGUACCAGAAGAAAAAUAAUUAUGAACGAGAUAAAAAAAUAAUAAAAAAAGUAACUUCAAUCCUUUGUGGCGCUUUUUCUUUUCAAAUUUUAGUUUUUGGAUUAGUUUCGAAGAAAGAAAAAAGAAAAAAAAAGAUAGGAAGGUUGUAAUUAAUUAGUACUUUGUUGGAGGGGAAAGUGAUCGAUGAAAGUGACACACGGGAGAGAAGUUACGGACGAGGCAAUGAAGAUGUAGCGUGUGAAGGUGCUGUGGUGGAAGACUGCUUAAAACAUGACAAGAUGAAACUUAAUCUUGUGACAUGACAAGUUCAAGUUUCUUCUUAUCCAUGACAGGUCCAGAUUGUUUCCUAUAACAUGAGAGGCUCAGAGGUUCAGGUUUUGCAUACUGUUAGAAGUUCAGAUAUAUUUCCAAAUGACCGGUUCAAAUUCACUUCUAUAAUGUGGCUGAAACUGUAUUGAUCUUUCGAAUCUUUACUCUAUUUUCUUUUUCUUUAAAUAUUAUGAGCUGUAUUUUUCCUUUUUCUCAUCUUUCAUUCUAUUUUCUUCCCUUUCCUUCCAUUUCAUUCUUUGCAAAUUCCUGUUUUCUCUGAUUUUCAUUGUCUCUCUCUCUCUCUUUUUAUUCCUUCCUUUACGUGUUCUUUACUCUUCUGUCAGUAUUAUUAAAGAGAAUCCUAAGUUUCCCUUCGUCUCUUCUUCGUCUCCUUCUUUCGCUUCACCUUGCGUUCGGAUAUUCACUUUUUUUCUCCAGGAUCAUUAAAGCGAUAAUUCAUCUGUGAAAUAUAAUUGGAUAUUUUAUAAACGCGCCGCAUGCUUGUUAACCGACUAAUUGCUGGCAAGGACUUAACGUGGAAAGCACACUUCGAUGAACAUUACUAUAACAAAGGAAGCAUUAUUAAUUAUUUCACGUUAAGAGCCUUUAGCCUUUCUCUUUAAACGUGCUCUAUUGUUCAUGCUUUGAACUCAUCGCUCCAUUGAUUCCUGCGGCAAAUAUAUUCUUUUUCCCCCGGUUACUGAUUGUAAGGCAGCGGACGCUCACUCAUUGGCCAGCACUCUCAAACGCUUUGUUCCCUCAUCAGGACUCUUCUGAUGCCUUGUUGAUAAUUAAUCGAGUUUUUUUUUUCAUUUUUUAAAAUUUCCUUUUGUCUAUUGAUGAUGGAGAAUCCUUGUCAAAACUUGAUCACUAGAAUUAUGUAAACACCAAUAAAGCUUGUAAGAGGUUAGAUAGGAGGAUAACAUGUUUGGCAACCAUGAAAGCAUCACUGGAAGGGUCGAUAACUUCCAUUGAAUCGUGUUAGGGCUAGGAGAGGAUGAUGAAAUGUCUGAAAUACGGUCUGUUGUCACGUGUAUAAGUGAACGUGAGGCGUACUGUUGUUAGUUAACACGGUAUUUGAUGUUCAGUAGAGGCGUGUGAUUGUGUCUCUCUGUCUCUGUGCGUUGGUGAGUGUGUUGAUUGGAAUGAUAAUGAUGAGGAAAGGGAACAGGAUGAGGAGGAGGGGUAGGAGGAGGAGGAAGAGGGAGAGGAGCAGGAGGAGGAGAAGAGGAGGAACACUAGCAGGUAGGACGUGGGAACCUCAGCUUAACCUGCUCUCUCUCUCUCUCUCUCUCUCUCUCUCUCUCUCUCUCUCUCUCUCUCUCUCUCUCUCUCUCUCUCUCUCUCUCUCUCAGCACGUCUAGUCAGCUGUAAUUCUUUUCCAUCGCAUAUUUACGACUCAUUUCGACACACGCUGCUGGAGGAAGUGGAAAAAUAAUGCUGCGGAGGCUUUUGGCAAACAACUUCUAUCCAAGACUCCUUCUUUUUGUUUUUA
Molecule: long non-coding RNA, 4770 nt
Organism: Scylla paramamosain (green mud crab)
Lineage: Eukaryota; Metazoa; Arthropoda; Malacostraca; Decapoda; Portunidae
Exons: 2
Source: RefSeq, a predicted model, not a curated record